AUACGUAGGGGGCGAGCGUUGUCCGGAAUGAUUGGGCGUAAAGGGCGCGUAGGCGGCCCGGUAAGUCUGGAGUGAAAGUCCUGUUUUUAAGCUGGGAAUUGCUUUGGAUACUGUCGGGCUUGAGUGCAGGAGAGGUAAGUGGAAUUCCCAGUGUAGCGGUGAAAUGCGUAGAGAUUGGGAGGAACACCAGUGGCGAAGGCGACUUACUGGACUGUAACUGACGCUGAGGCGCGAAAGUGUGGGGAGCAAACAGGAUUAGAUACCCUGGUAGUCCACACUGUAAACGAUGAAUGCUAGGUGUAGGGGGUAUCGACCCCUUCUGUGCCGCAGUCAACACAAUAAGCAUUCCGCCUGGGGAGUACGGCCGCAAGGUUGAAACUCAAAUGAAUUGACGGG
RNAcentral lists this ribosomal RNA (396 nucleotides) under uncultured bacterium. RNAcentral's name for it is "partial 16S ribosomal RNA". It matches the Rfam family "Bacterial small subunit ribosomal RNA", at positions 523 to 917 of the family's 1533-position model. The record is from RNAcentral.